Podarcis lilfordi (Lilford's wall lizard) is the source of this 77-nucleotide non-coding RNA. Lineage: Eukaryota; Metazoa; Chordata; Lepidosauria; Squamata; Lacertidae. The record is from the annotation of a GenBank genome assembly.
GCCGAGUUUGCCUACGCCUGCUGUAGAGCAUGAGACUCUUCAUCUCAGAGUCAUGGGUUCAAGCCCCAUGUUGGGCU